Non-coding RNA from Podarcis lilfordi (Lilford's wall lizard), 168 nucleotides. NCBI's taxonomy places the organism in Eukaryota, Metazoa, Chordata, Lepidosauria, Squamata, Lacertidae. The record is from the annotation of a GenBank genome assembly.
ACAUAACAGUGUUCUCCUCCAAGUCGCUGCCUUCCCACCCUUUCCCCUCCCUUGGUCUGGAUUUUCUCAUACUCUCCCCUUUUUGGAAGUAUCUCUGAUAGGAAAUAAUCCAGAUUGAGAAGGGGGGAAAGGGUGGGAAGGUUGUGAUUUGGAGGAGAAUGUCAAAUG